Long non-coding RNA from Acanthochromis polyacanthus (spiny chromis), 458 nucleotides. RefSeq lists it as uncharacterized. NCBI's taxonomy places the organism in Eukaryota, Metazoa, Chordata, Actinopteri, Pomacentridae. The transcript has 2 exons. The record is from RefSeq and is a predicted model, not a curated record.
ACAGGGUCAAUUAUACAUUAAUAUAUGUGUGUGUAUAUGGAAUACAGUAUAUUGUACUUUAGUUAUUGUGAUAAUUACACAAAAUCUGUGUCUGUGGAUUUGUUUUUGUUUGUUUUUGUUUCAGUUAAUGCCUGACUAGUUGAGCCUCCUUGUCAGUAAGCGGAACUUUGGUUCGGUUUGUAUUACUACAGCCACAUUCUAUGUAGCACUGCCCUCUAUAACUGGCGUUUUCGCGCUGAUUUUCUCCCCUUUUGACAUGAAUCUCUGUGGGAGAGGUAAGCGGUUUUGCUGUCCGGUGAAAUUCCUGUUCUAGCAAGCUAAAACUUGUCACAAGAUGCUUACUUUGUUGUCAUUUGAUCUGUGUAGGGGCAUGUGUUGUGGCGAUCAAUGACGGGAGGAUUUUGUGUUAAUAUUUUCAUGUCAGGAGCCGGAAAAUAAAUGGAGACUGCCUCCAAAAA